GUUUGUUGCUUUGUGUGAUAUUGAAAUCUGGCUCCAGAUAAUUCAAUAAUUGCUUCUUUCCUCUUUUAAGACUCACUGGACUUCAGACAAGUUUGCAGUUCCUGACACUGGAUCUUUCACUGACUGUGAGAGCAAGCAUAGAGUCAUUCCAACAGGCAUUCCCAAAUUGUUCAGGACCAGAUUCCUUCAUGUGCAAGGAGACACAGGUUGAUGAGAGCCUCAUCUGUGAUGGAGUCGAUAG
Molecule: long non-coding RNA, 241 nt
Organism: Austrofundulus limnaeus
Lineage: Eukaryota; Metazoa; Chordata; Actinopteri; Cyprinodontiformes; Rivulidae
Exons: 4
Source: RefSeq, a predicted model, not a curated record